This 874-nucleotide ribosomal RNA is filed under the name uncultured Gammaproteobacteria bacterium. Its description in RNAcentral is "bacterial SSU rRNA". It matches the Rfam family "Bacterial small subunit ribosomal RNA", at positions 28 to 896 of the family's 1533-position model. The record is from RNAcentral. Lineage: Bacteria; Pseudomonadati; Pseudomonadota; Gammaproteobacteria.
AUUGAACGCUGCGGGCAGGCUUAACACAUGCAAGUCGAGCGGAGAUGAGGUGCUUGCACCUUAUCUUAGCGGCGGACGGGUGAGUAAUGCUUAGGAAUCUGCCUAUUAGUGGGGGACAACAUUCCGAAAGGGAUGCUAAUACCGCAUACGUCCUACGGGAGAAAGCAGGGGAUCUUCGGACCUUGCGCUAAUAGAUGAGCCUAAGUCGGAUUAGCUAGUUGGUGGGGUAAAGGCCUACCAAGGCGACGAUCUAUAGCGGGUCUGAGAGGAUGAUCCGCCACACUGGGACUGAGACACGGCCCAGACUCCUACGGGAGGCAGCAGUGGGGAAUAUUGGACAAUGGGGGGAACCCUGAUCCAGCCAUGCCGCGUGUGUGAAGAAGGCCUUAUGGUUGUAAAGCACUUUAAGCGAGGAGGAGGCUACUGAGACUAAUACUCUUGGAUAGUGGACGUUACUCGCAGAAUAAGCACCGGCUAACUCUGUGCCAGCAGCCGCGGUAAUACAGAGGGUGCGAGCGUUAAUCGGAUUUACUGGGCGUAAAGCGUGCGUAGGCGGCUUUUUAAGUCGGAUGUGAAAUCCCCGAGCUUAACUUGGGAAUUGCAUUCGAUACUGGGAAGCUAGAGUAUGGGAGAGGAUGGUAGAAUUCCAGGUGUAGCGGUGAAAUGCGUAGAGAUCUGGAGGAAUACCGAUGGCGAAGGCAGCCAUCUGGCCUAAUACUGACGCUGAGGUACGAAAGCAUGGGGAGCAAACAGGAUUAGAUACCCUGGUAGUCCAUGCCGUAAACGAUGUCUACUAGCCGUUGGGGCCUUUGAGGCUUUAGUGGCGCAGCUAACGCGAUAAGUAGACCGCCUGGGGAGUACGGUCGCAAGACUA